AUACGGAGGGUGCAAGCGUUAAUCGGAAUUACUGGGCGUAAAGAGUACGUAGGUGGUUUAUUAAGUCAGAUGUGAAAGCCCCGGGCUCAACCUGGGAACUGCAUUUGAAACUAGUAGACUAGAGUAUGGUAGAGGGGGGUAGAAUUUCUAGUGUAGCGGUGAAAUGCGUAGAUAUCAGAAGGAAUACCAGUGGCGAAGGCGGCCCCCUGGACCAAUACUGACACUGAGGUACGAAAGCGUGGGUAGCGAACAGGAUUAGAAACCCCAGUAGUCC
RNAcentral lists this ribosomal RNA (274 nucleotides) under uncultured bacterium. RNAcentral describes it as "partial 16S ribosomal RNA". It matches the Rfam family "Bacterial small subunit ribosomal RNA", at positions 523 to 796 of the family's 1533-position model. The record is from RNAcentral.